This 653-nucleotide ribosomal RNA is filed under the name uncultured bacterium. RNAcentral describes it as "bacterial SSU rRNA". It matches the Rfam family "Bacterial small subunit ribosomal RNA", at positions 49 to 692 of the family's 1533-position model. The record is from RNAcentral.
UAACACAUGCAAGUCGAACGGGGCUAGGGUGCUUGCACCUGAUGCCUAGUGGCGAACGGGUGAGUAACGCUUAGGAAUCUGCCUAUUAAUGGGGGACAACAAUUCGAAAGGAUUGCUAAUACCGCAUACGCCCUACGGGGGAAAGCAGGGGACUCUUUUAGAGCCUUGCGUUAAUAGAUGAGCCUAAGUUGGAUUAGCUAGUUGGUGGGGUAAAGGCCUACCAAGGCGACGAUCCAUAGCGGGUCUGAGAGGAUGAUCCGCCACGCUGGGACUGAGACACGGCCCAGACUCCUACGGGAGGCAGCAGUGGGGAAUAUUGGACAAUGGGGGGAACCCUGAUCCAGCCAUGCCGCGUGUGUGAAGAAGGUCGUAAGAUUGUAAAGCACUUUAAGCGAGGAGGAGAGUACUGGUGCUAAUACCAUCAAGUACUGGACGUUACUCGCAGAAUAAGCACCGGCUAACUCUGUGCCAGCAGCCGCGGUAAUACAGAGGGUGCAAGCGUUAAUCGGAAUUACUGGGCGUAAAGCGCGCGUAGGUGGCUAAUUAAGUCGGAUGUGAAAUCCCCGAGCUCAACUUGGGAAUUGCAUUCGAUACUGGUUAGCUAGAGUAUGAGAGAGGAAGGUAGAAUUCCAGGUGUAGCGGUGAAAUGCGUA